Long non-coding RNA from Mesocricetus auratus (golden hamster), 416 nucleotides. RefSeq lists it as uncharacterized. NCBI's taxonomy places the organism in Eukaryota, Metazoa, Chordata, Mammalia, Rodentia, Cricetidae. The record is from RefSeq and is a predicted model, not a curated record. The transcript is spliced from 3 exons.
AGACCCCCUGAAUGUGGGUGUCAGUGAGGAGGCCUAGUUUCUAGGGGAAUGAUAGGGGCCACAUCUGUGAUGCUGUCUCAGAGCCCCAUUCUCUUCCUGGAACUCACUAGAUUUCAACAGAUCAUUUCUCACAAUCAACUAAAGGAACCAGCUGCUGAAUCUGCUGAAUGGAUCUAUUAUUACACUAGUGUUCUUAACUGUAGAGCACAUUCCUAAAAGGAAAAACAUCACAUCAAAGGAUAUGUGUGUUGGAGGAAGAAGAGGCAAGAAGCUGGAAAGAUUGCUCAGUGGGUAAAGGUGUGCGUUGCCACCGCCCGGUUCCACAGAAGCUUUUAUAAAGGGAAACAUUUAAUUUGGGUGGAUUACAUUUUCAGAGGUUUAGUCCACUAUUUUCAUGGCAGGACAUGGGAGCACGC